UACGGAGGGUGCAAGCAUUAAUCGGAUUCACUGGGCGUAAAGGGCGCGUAGGUGGGUAGGAUAGUUAUAUGUGAAAGCCCGGAGCUCAACUCCGGAACAGCAUCUAAUACUUCCUGUCUAGAGGUUUGGCGGAGAAAAUGGAAUUCCACGUGUAGCGGUGAAAUGCGUAGAUAUGUGGAAGAACACCGGUGGCGAAGGCGAUUUUCUAGCUUAUACCUGACACUGAGGCGCGAAAGCAAGGGGAGCAAACAGG
This 253-nucleotide ribosomal RNA is filed under the name uncultured bacterium. RNAcentral's name for it is "partial 16S ribosomal RNA". It matches the Rfam family "Bacterial small subunit ribosomal RNA", at positions 524 to 776 of the family's 1533-position model. The record is from RNAcentral.